Molecule: ribosomal RNA, 300 nt
Filed under: gut metagenome
Description: bacterial SSU rRNA
Rfam family: Bacterial small subunit ribosomal RNA
Source: RNAcentral
AGAGUUUGAUCCUGGCUCAGGAUGAACGCUGGCGGCGUGCUUAACACAUGCAAGUCGAACGAAGCGAUUUAGCGGAAGUUUUCGGAUGGAAGUUAAAUUGACUGAGUGGCGGACGGGUGAGUAACGCGUGGGUAACCUGCCUCACACAGGGGGACAACAGUUAGAAAUGGCUGCUAAUACCGCAUAAGCGCACAGCUUCGCAUGAAGCAGUGUGAAAAACUCCGGUGGUGUGAGAUGGACCCGCGUCUGAUUAGCUAGUUGGUAGGGUAAGGGCCUACCAAGGCGACGAUCAGUAGCCGA